CCCGCUUAGCUCAGAGGUA
RNAcentral lists this transfer RNA (19 nucleotides) under Populus euphratica (Euphrates poplar). RNAcentral describes it as "partial tRNA-Thr". RNAcentral also lists the same sequence under 1 other name. Lineage: Eukaryota; Viridiplantae; Streptophyta; Magnoliopsida; Malpighiales; Salicaceae. The record is from RNAcentral.